Molecule: ribosomal RNA, 253 nt
Filed under: uncultured bacterium
Lineage: Bacteria
Description: partial 16S ribosomal RNA
Rfam family: Bacterial small subunit ribosomal RNA
Source: RNAcentral
UACGUAGGGUGCAAGCGUUAUUCGGAUUUAUUGGGCGUAAAGCGCAUGUAGGCGGUUUGAUAAGUCUGGUGUGAAAGCCCUCGACUUAAUCGAGGAAGUGCAUUGGAUACUGUCAAACUAGAGUGCAGGAGGGGUAAGCGGAAUUCCAGGUGUAGAGGUGAAAUUCGUAGAUAUCUGGAGGAACAACAGCGGCGAAGGCGGCUUACUGGACUGUAACUGACGCUCAGAUGCGACAGUGUGGGGAGCGAACAGG